AGUGAAGCUCCGCCCCCACUUCCUGUUCAGGUCUCUCACUACACCGACAACUUGUCGGUGGGGAGAGCCCUUCUGAGCAUGCCUGGAGGCAGCAGGAGCCAGCCUGUGUAUGAGCAGGCUUUUUUUUCCAGGAGGGUGGGGGAUUCUGCUCUUUCUGAAGACUUUCAAACAUGGCACGUGUGACUGCAAAACACCAGGGGGAAGUGCCGGACACAGUGGAUUAAGGCGGUUGUCCUUUUUUACGUUUUUUGAAGAAGAUGAAGAUGUAGAUAUUUUUGGUCUAUUAUCACCUUCUGAGAAGGUUUCCCUCAUUCUAAGAUCGUGAGUGACCUGGGAAGAUAAAGGAGAGGAACAGCAGCCACCAGUAUCUGAUUCACAAUUACUUUCACAGCUGUCAAAAUCAGUGCCAGAAAAACUCUUUUAUCUUUAGUUUUUAGAAUAGAUCUAAGAUCUAUAAUAAGAUCGAAGUGUUACUUCUAUUCCUACCAGCAUUAUAUUUCUUUUGUUUAUUCAUGUAUUGUCUCCAAUUAUAGACUGAAUUAGUAUCAUAAUCCUUUUUGAAUUUAUUGGUCUUAAUGUCCAUAAUAUCUUUUCCAGUCUUAUCAAUUUUUAUUGUUAAUUUAUCAGAAAGUUUAGUAUAGUCAGAAAGUUUAGUUAAAUCUUUAUGGUUCUCUUUAAAGAUAGAGAUAUAAUUUUUCAAUUUAUCAUACAUUUGACGUUUGUUGUCUAUCAGAAGGUUCAUUAAUCUUAAUGAACAAUCGUAUAGAAUUAAGUUCCACUGUUCCAUGAAGUCAGUAUCUUCUGUGAGAGAGGUAGGAUACUUUUUAAUUCUCAAACAUCUAGGAAUCAUAUGUAAAGAUAUGUAUUUUUCAAAAGAAGCUAUUUCCCACCGUAGUCUCAGUUCUUUUAAGGAGAGUGUCUCUAGUGAAGAGAAAUAUUCAUGUACCGUAGGGACUAGAGUGGAAGUUUCCACUAGUUUUUAUUUUCUAGUAUUAGAUUCCAUGGCUAUUGUAGAAAAAUGGACAAAAAUGACCAACAAGUCUAAGAGACAACACAAUUAGAGCAGUAGGUUUACAUUGUAGCUAAUAGCUCAUUUUCUACUGCAAACUGUUUACACAUAAUGCUUAUUUUUUCUUUUUAAUUAAUUUUUAAGUAAUUUCUAUUUAGUUUCUUUUACGAUUGGUUAGUACUAAUGAUUCUAACUGCAUGUCCUAUCAUGAUUGGUCAGUACUGCUACUAUCUGUUUGUACAACUCUUGUAAUGUUCUUCUAAUUACAUGGCCCUUUAUGAUUGGUUAGUACUAACGAUCCUAAUUGCAUGCCCGUUGUGAUUGGUUAGCACUGCUUCUAACUGAUUGGUCAGCUUGACUUUAAAUAUUUUGUGUCUAAAGGAUGUUAUAUAGCCUAUGAUUAAGUACCCUGGAUGGUACAAAACACGUAAGGCUUCAUAGCAUUUAUGUGCAUUACUUAAAUAAAAUUACCGUGCUUUUACUCAA
Molecule: long non-coding RNA, 1495 nt
Organism: Xenopus tropicalis (tropical clawed frog)
Lineage: Eukaryota; Metazoa; Chordata; Amphibia; Anura; Pipidae
Exons: 2
Source: RefSeq, a predicted model, not a curated record